RNAcentral lists this unclassified non-coding RNA (2808 nucleotides) under Hevea brasiliensis (rubber tree). The stretch from base 218 to 379 matches the Rfam family "U1 spliceosomal RNA". The record is from RNAcentral. Lineage: Eukaryota; Viridiplantae; Streptophyta; Magnoliopsida; Malpighiales; Euphorbiaceae.
AUUGCAUGGUACGAGCGCUAGAAAACACUCGUAACUGAUUUUUUUGGUUGGGAAUCCUUUCAUAGUUUUGGUCCUUGGAAGCCCUGAUAAAUUUCUGGCAGAAGAACCUUGAUCAGAAAGCGUGAACUUGGAAAGAGUAUUAAUCCCACAUCGAAAUUACUGUAAGCAAAAGGAAAGGAAUGAGGGAAUAAAUAAGAAGGGCAAGGCACUUUAACACGUACUUACCUGGACGGAGUCAAUGGGUGAACAAUAAGGUUCAUGGCCUGGGUUAUUGACUUCCAUUGCACUGAGGAGGGGUGCUAUCCUAAAGGUCUCUCCAAAUGGCAGAGUCUACGUCAUAAUUUGUAGUAGCGGGGGCCUGUGUUCGCGCGGCUCCUUUCAUUUCUUAGUCCAAGCGUUAAUUAGUAUCAGGAUAUCUGUACUAGAGUAAGGCAAGCUGCCAUCAGUGGCAAAAUCGACACGGUUAUAACAGGAAGCGAAAGAAACAAGGUAUUCUGCACAGCUUUAAAGUAGAUUCAAUCAGGCAAACAUCAAUAGAUUCCAUUGGUUGGAGAAAAGGCAAAGUGGCUGGAUGUAGAUGCCAACUUAAAGUCGGUCUUCUUCUCCUAAUUACCUGAUAGAACAAAUCACGAGAAUUCUCGAUUGACAACUUCUGGGAAAGCAUUACAUUUAUGCCGAUCUUUGGAAAUGCCACAUUUCAGGUUUGCCAGUAGCAUACUAGAUCAAGCACAUGAUUAUACCAUAUUGAAAUGACUACAUAAAUGUAAUGUUCUUUUAUCACAAAACUCAUUCGUCCUUACUUUUAGCAAUGCAAAGACUAAGAAGCAAUCAUCACAACCAUCAGAAAAAAGAAAGUGACAAUAUGUGAGAAAUAUGGGCAGUUCCACUGGCCUAGAAUUCUAAUUAACAUACGACCUGAAACACAUGCAAGUUAGAAGAUUUAAUUUCAAUUAUCAGUACAAUGCUCAUGUUGUUUAAAGUGAAUGUAUGCCUGAAACAAAAUCUUAUUCCUAUUUUUGUCAACAAAAACUUAAAAAUAAUAAAAUUGAAAAACAACAUAACUAUCUAAAAGAAAUCGCUCCAAUUGAACCGACUUUAACAUGCGCCUUACAAUCCCACUUGGUAGAAACAAUUCAAGUGUGGUCAGAAGGCUCGAUGCAUCAUUUUCUUGGCUUCUUCACCAAACUAAGUUUUAUCUUCUUAAGACGAAACCUCUUUCCUAGAAAUUUUCUCAGGCAGUGUCUCCCCAUUCUUCUCUUUCUUCACAACUUUUGACUUCAAAAAUUUUGCAUCCACUCUAUAAUCUUUGGGUGUGAUCGGUACCCCAUUACUCAAAGCUUCAUUAAAAAGGGCAUUUACCUUGACAAAAUGAUUAUGAGAACACCACUUCCCCAUCAACAAUUCGUUAAGUCUUUAUCCCAGGUUUACAUCCAUCCGCCUUCAUCAUCUCGAACACUGUCAUAGCAUGCUCAAGCCUCUCAAUACCGCACAAAACCUUCAAAAAGCUGUAAUAAGCCUUCUUAUCAAGCUUAUCUCCAUACCCAGCACUCUUCAUUCGAUCAAUCAUCUCAUCCCCCUCUCCCACCCUCGCUGCCUGAUACAAACUCUUAAUCAAAACAAGAAACGUAGUCUCAUCGGGAUUACACCCCCAUUCCCCUAUCCUGUAAAACAAAUCCAAAGCAUCCUGAGUUUUCCUCAUCUUGCAUAAAUUAUUGAUCAAGACAUUGAAUGUCUCCACAUUUCUUGGAACCCCACGAGAGUCCAUUUCUACCAAUACCUUCUCUGCCUCAGAAUGUAACCUAAACGGAUCUUUUGCCCUACAAAGCUUGCAAACACAAUCAAGAAUCGCAUUAUAAGCCAUUGUACCGAUCUCAAAACCACCACUAUACAUCUCCCCAGCCAACCUUUUAGCCUCCUCAAGUUUCCCAUCAACACACCAACCUUUGAUCAACAAAUCACAAAUUAUCUCAUCUGGGAAAAUCUCAUUAGCCAAGUUUUUCACCAUUCUCUCUGCAUAACUCGCGUACCCAUUGUCACACAACUUAUUCACUAUCAAUGUAAGAGACUCCCUAUCUCGCUUAAACCCAUAAUCUCUGUCCAUCCUAUCAAAAAACCCAACAACCUUGGUAGGCCUCCCUGCCCGUACAAGCCUAUCAACCACUGAUUCCAGACUUUUAGACCCAAUGACACCUUUACCUUCACGAAGUAGCUCAUGGGUAGAUUGGAAAUCCUUCCUUCGACCAAAGUAAUCAACGAAAAACGAUAUCGUUUCAUCCGUGUGCUUAAACCCAGCAGCCGUGACCAGCCACUGGUGAAACCCUACCACUGUACGUCCAGCAUCAGGGGAGAGAUUGAGCGUCUGCAGAACCAACGACGGGGUUAUGGAGUUGGUGAUGUGAGAGAAAUUGAGAUUGAGUCUUUGCGAAAUUGAGAGGGAGUCAGUGUCAGGGCUUUUGACGAGCUCUGCGGAUAUUGACUGGGCUAUGGGAUCUGGGUCACUGCUAGGUUUUAUGGUCAGAGAGGAGAAGGGUCUACAGAGAGGAAGUAGCAAGAACGUAAAUUUAGUGAAAUGGGUAGGGGUAAAGCAGGAAGAGGAAGCGGACUGAGUGAGGAAUGGAGCAGGAGAGAGGCAGCAACGGUUUAGGAGGCAACGAAGUUGAAGAGAGGUGAAGGGAGGCAUUUUCAUUCCAGAGAGAAGAAGGAGAAGGAGAAGAAGAAGGGACCGGCCUCUGCAGAUGUUUAUAACUGGUUUUUGUUUUGGUUUUUCUUGUCGCAGGUGGCUUCCAUAAUUCCAUUUGGGGUUGUUCC